RNAcentral lists this ribosomal RNA (424 nucleotides) under uncultured prokaryote. RNAcentral describes it as "bacterial SSU rRNA". It matches the Rfam family "Bacterial small subunit ribosomal RNA", at positions 355 to 796 of the family's 1533-position model. The record is from RNAcentral.
UGGGGAAUUUUCCGCAAUGGGCGAAAGCCUGACGGAGCAAUACCGCGUGAGUGAAGAAGGCCUUAGGGUUGUAAAGCUCUUUCAGUCGUGACGAUGAUGACGGUAGCGACAGAAGAAGCCCCGGCUAACUCCGUGCCAGCAGCCGCGGUAAUACGGAGGGGGCAAGCGUUGUUCGGAUUUACUGGGCGUAAAGGGCGCGUAGGCGGGGUAUCCAGUUAGGGGUGAAAGCCCGGGGCUCAACCUCGGAACUGCCUUUAAAACUGAUACUCUAGAGUCCGGAAGAGGGUCGCGGAAUUCCCAGUGUAGAGGUGAAAUUCGUAGAUAUUGGGAAGAACACCGGUGGCGAAGGCGGCGACCUGGUCCGGUACUGACGCUGAGGCGCGAAAGCGUGGGGAGCAAACAGGAUUAGAUACCCCCGUAGUCC